Molecule: long non-coding RNA, 888 nt
Filed under: Mus musculus (house mouse)
Lineage: Eukaryota; Metazoa; Chordata; Mammalia; Rodentia; Muridae
Description: long non-coding RNA chr14:79301148-79302036
Source: RNAcentral
GGCGGGAAGUCUGAGUCAGCAGGCACCCGUUACGUGUCAGACUCCGGUUCCUUGUCCCGCGUGGAAAACCAAACUAAACCUGCAUCGGACGAGCGAUCCGGAGACGGGAUGCCAGGGUGAUGGAGGACAGAAGGGUGGGCAGUGGAAGAAGACCUUAGCGACCUCUGUUCUCUCGCCCCUACUUGCAGGCUCCAGCUCUCAGGGGCCCCGGAGCUGAGAGUGUAGCUUAGCGUGGACGCAGUCCCUGGCUUCGAUCCCGGGGCGCAGAGGUGGAGAAGACACCUCCAAAUAGGCACUCACCUGCGGCCGCGACCGCCGCGGGACUGCUCUGCGCUGAGGGCGGCUUCAUGGAGAAGUUGCUCAGUGACACGCGUAGCAGAGAUGCUGCGAGGUGUUGGCCCUGGUGGCUGCCGCCUGCACUGCAGUCUGCUCCGGUGCCUCUGCCUUGCUCCUUGCCGAGCCUGAGCGCUAGCUACUCGCCUGAGCCGCGCCACCCGCCGGCUACUCCGUCUUAUAGCCACCGGCAGGGGCGGGGCGGGGCGGGGCUGCUGAGUAAGUCCCAGACGACCUAGGGGACGCCCCUGUCCCUCCACCCCCUACUCCCGGCACCGCCCUAGCCACGCGCUGGCCUCUGAAGAACCGCAGUGACGGGUGUCGCCGGAGUCCAGGAUACCGCCCCAAAUAUUUACCCGCCGCUUUCUCUACCACCCUGACAACCCGACCCAAGGAAGUGUCUUUGCGGGCAUCAGAGUUCUCCAAGAGUUUACCCUGUUUCCCGCCUUCUGGCUGAGCCUCCUUGAGCCUCAUCUAUGAAAUGGAACUGCACAUGCAGAAAGCCUCCUUGUUUGCUGCAAAAAUAAAGGAGCCAAGGGCCUCAGUAGCCUCUGC